RNAcentral lists this ribosomal RNA (253 nucleotides) under uncultured bacterium. RNAcentral's name for it is "partial 16S ribosomal RNA". It matches the Rfam family "Bacterial small subunit ribosomal RNA", at positions 524 to 776 of the family's 1533-position model. The record is from RNAcentral.
UACGAAGGGGGCUAGCGUUGUUCGGAAUUACUGGGCGUAAAGCGCACGUAGGCGGAUUGUUAAGUCAGGGGUGAAAUCCCGGGGCUCAACCUCGGAACUGCCUUUGAUACUGGCAAUCUCGAGUCCGGAAGAGGUGGGUGGAAUUCCUAGUGUAGAGGUGAAAUUCGUAGAUAUUAGGAAGAACACCAGUGGCGAAGGCGGCCCACUGGUCCGGUACUGACGCUGAGGUGCGAAAGCGUGGGGGGCAAACAGG